ACUCCUAUGGGAGGCAGCAGUGGGGAAUAUUGCACAAUGGGCGCAAGCCUGAUGCAGCAACGCCGUGUGAGUGAAGAAGGUUUUCGGAUCGUAAAACUCUGUCCUAAGGGAAGAAACAAAUGACGGUACCUUAGGAGGAAGCCCCGGCUAACUACGUGCCAGCAGCCGCGGUAAUACGUAGGGGGCAAGCGUUAUCCGGAAUCACUGGGCGUAAAGGGUGCGUAGGCGGCUUAGCAAGCCAGGGGUGAAAGGCAUUGGCUCAACCAAUGUAAGCCUUUGGAACUGUUAAGCUUGAGUGCAGGAGAGGUAAGUGGAAUUCCUAGUGUAGAGGUGAAAUUCGUAGAUAUUAGGAGGAACACCAGUGGCGAAGGCGACUUACUGGACUGUAACUGACGCUGAUGCACGAAAGCGUGGGUAGCGAACAGGAUUAGAUACCCUGGUAGCACAGAG
This 450-nucleotide ribosomal RNA is filed under the name uncultured bacterium. RNAcentral's name for it is "bacterial SSU rRNA". It matches the Rfam family "Bacterial small subunit ribosomal RNA", at positions 335 to 799 of the family's 1533-position model. The record is from RNAcentral.